AUGCGGGCGGCGGCUACCAUGCAGUCGAGCGGUAGCACAGAGAGCUUGCUCUCGGGUGACGAGCGGCGGACGGGUGAGUAAUGUCUGGGAAACUGCCUGAUGGAGGGGGAUAACUACUGGAAACGGUAGCUAAUACCGCAUAAUGUCGCAAGACCAAAGUGGGGGACCUUCGGGCCUCAUGCCAUCAGAUGUGCCCAGAUGGGAUUAGCUAGUAGGUGGGGUAACGGCUCACCUAGGCGACGAUCCCUAGCUGGUCUGAGAGGAUGACCAGCCACACUGGAACUGAGACACGGUCCAGACUCCUACGGGAGGCAGCAGUGGGGAAUAUUGCACAAUGGGCGCAAGCCUGAUGCAGCCAUGCCGCGUGUGUGAAGAAGGCCUUCGGGUUGUAAAGCACUUUCAGCGGGGAGGAAGGCGUUAAGGUUAAUAACCUUGGCGAUUGACGUUACCCGCAGAAGAAGCACCGGCUAACUCCGUGCCAGCAGCCGCGGUAAUACGGAGGGUGCAAGCGUUAAUCGGAAUUACUGGGCGUAAAGCGCACGCAGGCGGUCUGUCAAGUCGGAUGUGAAAUCCCCGGGCUCAACCUGGGAACUGCAUUCGAAACUGGCAGGCUAGAGUCUUGUAGAGGGGGGUAGAAUUCCAGGUGUAGCGGUGAAAUGCGUAGAGAUCUGGAGGAAUACCGGUGGCGAAGGCGGCCCCCUGGACAAAGACUGACGCUCAGGUGCGAAAGCGUGGGGAGCAAACAGGAUUAGAUACCCUGGUAGUCCACGCCGUAAACGAUGUCGAUUUGGAGGUUGUGCCCUUGAGGCGUGGCUUCCGGAGCUAACGCGUUAAAUCGACCGCCUGGGGAGUACGGCCGCAAGGUUAAAACUCAAAUGAAUUGACGGGGGCCCGCACAAGCGGUGGAGCAUGUGGUUUAA
RNAcentral lists this ribosomal RNA (920 nucleotides) under Klebsiella pneumoniae. RNAcentral's name for it is "bacterial SSU rRNA". It matches the Rfam family "Bacterial small subunit ribosomal RNA", at positions 33 to 949 of the family's 1533-position model. The record is from RNAcentral. Lineage: Bacteria; Pseudomonadati; Pseudomonadota; Gammaproteobacteria; Enterobacterales; Enterobacteriaceae.